GACGAACGCUGGCGGCGUGCUUAACACAUGCAAGUCGAACGGGCCCGCCCCUGUUUUUGGGGGUGGGGUGAGUGGCGAACGGGUGAGUAUCACGUUAGUAACCUGCCUCCUGCUCCUGGAUAACUGCUUUAAAGGGCGGCUAAUACGGGGUGUGCCGGCUGUUCCGCAUGGGCCUGGUCGGGUUAGUUUCUUGUUCGGUUGUUUCGGUGGGGGUUGGGCUCGCGGCCUAUCAGCUUGUUGGUGGGGUGCUGGCCCACCCAGGCGGUGACGGGUAGCCGGCGUGGGGGGGUGGGCGGCCAGGAUGGGACUGAGGCACGGGCCAGCCUCGUGAGGGAGGCAGCAGUGGUGGGUGUUGAACGGUGGGAGGAAGCCCGAUGCAGAGACGUCGCGUGAGGGAUGGAGGCCUUCGGGUUGUGACCCUCUUUCUGAGGUGAUGGAGGCCCUGUCCGUUGCGGCGGGGUUGACGGUAGCCGGGUAUGAAGCGCCGGCUAACUACGUG
RNAcentral lists this ribosomal RNA (499 nucleotides) under uncultured bacterium. Its description in RNAcentral is "partial 16S ribosomal RNA". It matches the Rfam family "Bacterial small subunit ribosomal RNA", at positions 28 to 507 of the family's 1533-position model. The record is from RNAcentral.